RNAcentral lists this unclassified non-coding RNA (397 nucleotides) under Hevea brasiliensis (rubber tree). Lineage: Eukaryota; Viridiplantae; Streptophyta; Magnoliopsida; Malpighiales; Euphorbiaceae. The record is from RNAcentral.
CUUCAAUUUCAGGCCUGAAAUGUUUGAAUCCGUGCAUAAUUUCAAGUGGGUCUGUUCAAAUGCACCUAAUUUCCCUUUAGAACCAAAGAACGUCUGUUCCCUUAAUGAUAAAGAUUUAGAAUUGUUGGCUUGAAUCAAUGGUAGGGAGGACAAGGGUUUAUUUGAAACGGAAGAAGAUGGAGAAACAAUAGCCAUUGGAGGGCUCUAGAAAGGUAGAGAGCUGCUUUCGAGGCGUGAAAUGCUGAAAGAAAUGUGGAUUUGAGGGUGGCAUUUAUGAGUAUAGUUUUGAAAAAGAAGGCGGGUAUGUGUGGGUUGGGAACUUUCAACGUCUGGAGCACGGCGGCUUAGUUGGCAUCGCCAUUAAACCAAAAACUUUGAAUUCUCCGUCGUUCUUGGA